GUGGGGAAUCUUGCGCAAUGGGCGAAAGCCUGACGCAGCCAUGCCGCGUGAAUGAUGAAGGUCUUAGGAUUGUAAAAUUCUUUCACCGGGGACGAUAAUGACGGUACCCGGAGAAGAAGCCCCGGCUAACUUCGUGCCAGCAGCCGCGGUAAUACGAAGGGGGCUAGCGUUGCUCGGAAUUACUGGGCGUAAAGGGAGCGUAGGCGGAUAGUUUAGUCAGAGGUGAAAGCCCAGGGCUCAACCUUGGAAUUGCCUUUGAUACUGGCUAUCUUGAGUAUGGAAGAGGUAUGUGGAACUCCGAGUGUAGAGGUGAAAUUCGUAGAUAUUCGGAAGAACACCAGUGGCGAAGGCGACAUACUGGUCCAUUACUGACGCUGAGGCUCGAAAGCGUGGGGAGCAAACAGGAUUAGAUACCCGGGUAGUCC
Molecule: ribosomal RNA, 425 nt
Filed under: uncultured bacterium
Lineage: Bacteria
Description: partial 16S ribosomal RNA
Rfam family: Bacterial small subunit ribosomal RNA
Source: RNAcentral